This 274-nucleotide ribosomal RNA is filed under the name uncultured bacterium. RNAcentral's name for it is "partial 16S ribosomal RNA". It matches the Rfam family "Bacterial small subunit ribosomal RNA", at positions 523 to 796 of the family's 1533-position model. The record is from RNAcentral.
AUACGGAGGGUCCAAGCGUUAUCCGGAAUCAUUGGGUUUAAAGGGUCCGCAGGCGGUCAAUUAAGUCAGAGGUGAAAGCCCAUCGCUCAACGAUGGAACUGCCUUUGAUACUGGUUGACUUGAGUUAUACGGAAGUAGAUAGAAUAAGUAGUGUAGCGGUGAAAUGCAUAGAUAUUACUUAGAAUACCGAUUGCGAAGGCAGUCUACUACGUAUAUACUGACGCUGAGGGACGAAAGCGUGGGGAGCGAACAGGAUUAGAAACCCUUGUAGUCC